This 705-nucleotide ribosomal RNA is filed under the name Triticum aestivum (bread wheat). Its description in RNAcentral is "partial small subunit ribosomal RNA". Lineage: Eukaryota; Viridiplantae; Streptophyta; Magnoliopsida; Poales; Poaceae. The record is from RNAcentral.
AGAAAAAGAGGCGGUAAUGCGAGACCAAAUGGUAUGAUGAGGGAGUUUUGUGAAUGCCUUAUGGAUUGUGGGCUAGAGGACUUAGGUUACACUGGCGACCUUUUUACUUGGAGCAGAGGUGAUAUUCGAGAGCGUCUUGAUUGUGCAGUAUGUAAUAUUGGGUGGGCACUCAAAUUCCCUCGUGCAAAAGUGAUUAAUGAAGAACAUGUUCAUUCUGACCAUCGCGCGCUGGUGCUCGAUACAGAUUAUCUAGACGAGAAUAUUUUCAAGCAACCAGCGGGACAUGCAAAACAAUUUGAAGCUAGGUGGUUACAUGAAGACACUGUUAAUGAAAUCGUUAAGGCAUCUUGGGAGAAAGCAAAGUUAGCUGGUAUUGGGCCUUCUCUUGCGAAUCGAAUGAGAGCCAUUCAUGCUGAUCUUCACGAUUGGGAUCGUGAAUUUUUAAAGGGUCCGAAGCGGAGAAUUAAGAAAUUGAAAAAAGAGUUAGAGAGACUGCGACGCGGCCCGACGAAUGCUGAGUCUCGUUGCCGACAGAAGGAGAUAAUUGUGGUUAUUGAAAACCUCUUAGACCAGGAGGAAAUUUUCUGGCUACAAAGAGGUCGUGCAAACUGGUUGAUGCACGGGGACCGUAACACAUCUUUCUUCCAUAACACAGCUACGGCUAGGAAGAAGAGAAGUAAUAUCAAGAAGUUAUUGGAUGACUAG